Molecule: ribosomal RNA, 622 nt
Filed under: Glischrocaryon aureum
Lineage: Eukaryota; Viridiplantae; Streptophyta; Magnoliopsida; Saxifragales; Haloragaceae
Description: eukaryotic LSU rRNA
Rfam family: 5.8S ribosomal RNA (bases 237-392)
Source: RNAcentral
CCCGUGAACUAAUAUUACCUUUGGGGUGCAGGAAUGUCACGCUCGCGUGCUCCCCUGCGCCCCACACGCCCUUGCUCGCCUCUCGUCGCUCCAAACCUGUUUGGCUGAGGCGCGAGGCGCUGCUAGGGCGGUAAAAACGAACCCCGGCGCGGACUGCGCCAAGGAAAACUAAACGAAUAGCACUGCCGCUGCACCCACGUGUGUGGCUGCGUAGAUGCUAACUUCGAUACCUUAACGACUCUCGGCAACGGAUAUCUCGGCUCUCGCAUCGAUGAAGAACGUAGCGAAAUGCGAUACUUGGUGUGAAUUGCAGAAUCCCGUGAACCAUCGAGUCUUUGAACGCAAGUUGCGCCCGAAGCCAUUCGGCCGAGGGCACGUCUGCCUGGGCGUCACGUAUCGCGUUGCUCCCCYAACACUGCCCCUCGAGGGCCUUGUGUCUGYGGAAGCGAAGAUUGGCAUCCCGCGCUCUGGCACGGUUUGCCUAAAAGCAAGCCUCGGGGUGACGAAAGGUCACGACAAGCGGUGGAUGAUUGUUCUCGGCCGUGUUUGUGUCGUGCCCGUCCGUUCCCCAUUGAGCUAAGCAUCCCCUACACGCCGUCUCGACGGUGCUUGCAUCGCGACC